RNAcentral lists this ribosomal RNA (484 nucleotides) under uncultured bacterium. RNAcentral's name for it is "partial 16S ribosomal RNA". It matches the Rfam family "Bacterial small subunit ribosomal RNA", at positions 28 to 507 of the family's 1533-position model. The record is from RNAcentral.
AUUGAACGCUGGCGGCAUGCUUUACACAUGCAAGUCGAACGGCAGCGCGGGCUUCGGCCUGGCCGCGAGUGGCGAACGGGUGUGUAAUGCAUCGGAACGCGCCCACGAGUGGGGGAUCGCCCGGCAAAAGCCGGUUUAAUACCACAUACGACCUGGGGGUGAAAGCGGGGGCCCGAAAGGCCUCGCGCUAUUGGAGCGGCCGAUGUCGGAUUAGCUAGUUGGUGGGGUAAAGGCUUACCAAGGCGACGAUCCGUAGCUGGUCUGAGAGGACGACCAGCCACACUGGGACUGAGACACGGCCCAGACUCCUACGGGAGGCAGCAGUGGGGAAUUUUGGACAAUGGGGGCAACCCUGAUCCAGCCAUGCCGCGUGCGGGAAGAAGGCCUUCGGGUUGUAAACCGCUUUUGUUCGGGAAGAAAUCCUUUGGGCUAAUACCCCGGGGGGAUGACGGUACCGGAAGAAUAAGCACCGGCUAACUACGUG